GGAAGUGUAUUCUGUGAUUGUUCUGUGCAUCGAUCGAUAUACAGGUGAUUCAUCUGUUUAUCAGAUCUGCUCAGUGCCGACCCUCCGUCACACCUUUGUUUCCCAGUAAUUCUGCCUGGCAUUGCUGAGGCGACAUAGUUCGGUUCGGCUUUCCGAUGCCUCCGCCGAGGGACGACGGGUCCUUUCGGCGGCAGACGCACGGUUGUGUUCCAGUGAUCCGUCUCCCCCUUCGCUCCGCGGAUUUCGGUCAGGACAUUUGUCUACGACUGCAAUACGAUUUGAGCGGAGGCGGGCGGCGGCGCUGGUGCUGAAGCCGACGACAGUUGCCCGAGUCAGCCAUUUUCAAAAUUUCUUGGUUAAGUAACUUUGUAGCUUAGCUUCGGAUUUUCGUAAUAUAUUUGCUGUUCAGAACACUUCCAUGUACGCGGCAUUGCCGAGCAAUUUGCCCAUUCUUUUG
RNAcentral lists this small nuclear RNA (457 nucleotides) under Drosophila ananassae. RNAcentral describes it as "Arthropod 7SK RNA". It matches the Rfam family "Arthropod 7SK RNA". The record is from Rfam by way of RNAcentral. Lineage: Eukaryota; Metazoa; Arthropoda; Insecta; Diptera; Drosophilidae.